This 253-nucleotide unclassified non-coding RNA is filed under the name uncultured Micrococcaceae bacterium. RNAcentral's name for it is "contains 16S-23S intergenic spacer region". It matches the Rfam family "Bacterial small subunit ribosomal RNA", at positions 524 to 776 of the family's 1533-position model. Lineage: Bacteria; Bacillati; Actinomycetota; Actinomycetes; Micrococcales; Micrococcaceae. The record is from RNAcentral.
UACGUAGGGCGCAAGCGUUAUCCGGAAUUAUUGGGCGUAAAGAGCUCGUAGGCGGUUUGUCGCGUCUGCCGUGAAAGUCCGGGGCUCAACUCCGGAUCUGCGGUGGGUACGGGCAGGCUAGAGUGAUGUAGGGGAGACUGGAAUCCCUGGUGUAGCGGUGAAAUGCGCAGAUAUCAGGAGGGACACCGAUGGCGAAGGCAGGUCUCUGGGCAUUAACUGACGCUGAGGUACGAAAGCAUGGGGAGCAAACAGG